Molecule: long non-coding RNA, 323 nt
Organism: Macrosteles quadrilineatus (aster leafhopper)
Lineage: Eukaryota; Metazoa; Arthropoda; Insecta; Hemiptera; Cicadellidae
Exons: 3
Source: RefSeq, a predicted model, not a curated record
UUGUAUGGAAACAAUGGAAUGUAAAAGAAAGUGUUUUAGAAAAACGAAUAAAUAUCAGAACUAAAAUAGGAAAGAUAUCAAUUGAAUUUAAAAGAAGCACUCAUAUCUUUGCAGCAAUUGUAAAUAUGUUCACGCCAAUAUUUCUCGUAGCUGUUACAGCAUUCGCUUUAUUAUUAAUUGGUGACCCAAACUACAUUCGAGACCCCUUCUUCUUCUUAACUCCUCCCCCUUUUUGGACCCCCUGACGCGUUACUAAUUUUGAAACGUCCCUUUUUUACUGGAAAAGUUGUGUUGUAAAACAAAUAUAAAAUUAUCCAUCACAA